This 468-nucleotide ribosomal RNA is filed under the name uncultured bacterium. RNAcentral describes it as "partial 16S ribosomal RNA". It matches the Rfam family "Bacterial small subunit ribosomal RNA", at positions 28 to 507 of the family's 1533-position model. The record is from RNAcentral.
GACGAACGCUGGCGGCGUGCUUAACACAUGCAAGUCGAACGGAAAGGCCCUGCUUUUGUUGGGUGCUCGAGUGGCGAACGGGUGAGUAACACGUGAGUAACCUGCCCUUGACUGUGGGAUAACUUCAGGAAACUGGGGCUAAUACCGGAUAUGAGCUCCUGCUGCAUGGGGGGGGUUGGAAAGUUUCGGCGGUUGGGGAUGGACUCGCGGCUUAUCAGCUUGUUGGGGGGGUAGUGGCUUACCAAGGGUUUGACGGGUAGCCGGCCUGGGAGGGUGACCGGCCACAUGGGGACUGAGGUAGGGCCCAGACUCGAACGGGAGGCAGCGGGGGGAAGUAUGGCCGAAUGGGCGGAAGCCUGAGGCGGAAACCCCGGGUGCGGGAGGACGGCUUUCGGGUUGAAAACCGCUUUCGCAUGUGCCGAAGCGUGAGUGACGGUACCGGGUAAAGAAGCACCGGCUAACUACGUG